UCAAGUUCUCAGAAUGAGGUGCCUGGCUCAGCUCCUGAGGCUAUUUUUCCUCUGGAUCCCUGGAGCCAUUGGGGAUAUUGUGAUGACCCAGUCUGCACUCUCCAUUCCUGUCACUCCUGGAGAGUCAGUUUCCAUCUCCUGCAGAUCUGCUAAGAGUCUCCUGCACAGUGAUCUCUCCAGACCCUGUUUACUGCCCUACUGGACAGGACUACAAACAAGUCCCAUAUCUCCACUACUAUGAUCUCAGUUAAAGUCAUCCUCAUUGACUCCUGGGAUCCUCCCCAUCACAGGUUUCUGGCAUGUCCCAGAGAUGCCCCCACCACUCUAUCCCUACCCCUGCAGAUUUCCAUCUAUUCUUCUGGCCAUCUGGCCAUCUCUCCUGUCUCUCCCCAUACCUGAUACUGAACCCCCUCCCCCAUUCCCCUCUUUAUAACCUUCUCCCAUCCAAUUUCCUCCCUCUAUCUACCUCCUAUGACUAUUUUAUGUCUCCAUAUAAAUGAGAUUCAAGCAUCUUCA
Non-coding RNA from Grammomys surdaster, 516 nucleotides. The record is from the annotation of a RefSeq genome assembly. Lineage: Eukaryota; Metazoa; Chordata; Mammalia; Rodentia; Muridae.